Molecule: ribosomal RNA, 253 nt
Filed under: uncultured bacterium
Lineage: Bacteria
Description: partial 16S ribosomal RNA
Rfam family: Bacterial small subunit ribosomal RNA
Source: RNAcentral
UACGUAGGGGGCUAGCGUUGUCCGGAUUUAUUGGGCGUAAAGAGCGUGUAGGCGGCCAUGUAGGUCCGGUGUGAAAACUCGAGGCUUAACCUCGAGAUGUCAUCGGAAACCAUUUGGCUAGAGUCCGGAAGAGGAGAGUGGAAUUCCUGGUGUAGCGGUGAAAUGCGCAGAUAUCAGGAGGAACACCAAUAGCGAAGGCAGCUCGCUGGGACGGUACUGACGCUAAGGCGCGAAAGCGUGGGGAGCGAACAGG